AUGUUAAAGCCCGUUGAGAAUUGCAAACUUUGUGGUGCAAAGAGGUUUGAGCAUGGGUCCAAAGGGUUUUGUUGCUGUAAUGGGAAGACCAAACAGGCCAAUUUGGUUACAUCACCCAAUCUCAUGAGGCUUUGGAUGAGUGCAGACCCAGAUGCUAUGCACCUUCGUGACAAUAUCAGGUUUUUCAAUGGGCAUUUCUCAUUCACCUAAGUGUACUGUCACCUUGAUAGUGAUACCUCAAACACAUCAAAACAUCAUAUCUACACAUUCUGUGCCCAUGGAUAGAUGUAUCACAACAUACGACCAUUUGGUAGACAAGAUGGCUUAGAGCGCAGUCACUUGGAGCUUUACUUCUAUGAUGAUGACCCCAAUCUCGAGCACAGGUAUCAUAGUUGCCGCAAAGAGCAGUGUGCGAAAGACAAAGGAGUAAUCACAUAG
This 438-nucleotide ribosomal RNA is filed under the name Triticum aestivum (bread wheat). Its description in RNAcentral is "partial small subunit ribosomal RNA". Lineage: Eukaryota; Viridiplantae; Streptophyta; Magnoliopsida; Poales; Poaceae. The record is from RNAcentral.